AUUGAACGCUGGCGGCAGGCCUAACACAUGCAAGUCGAACGGUAACAGGAAGACGCUUGCUUCUUUGCUGACGAGUGGCGGACGGGUGAGUCAUGUCUGGGAAACUGCCUGAUGGAGGGGGAUAACUACUGGAAACGGUAGCUAAUACCGCAUAACGUCGCACGACCAAAGAGGGGGACCUUCGGGCCUCUUUCCAUCGGAUGUGCCCAGAUGGGAUGAGCUAGUAGGUGGGGUAACGGCUCACCUAGGCGACGAUCCCUAGCUGGUCUGAGAGGAUGACCAGCCACACGGGAACAGAGACACGGUCCAGACGCCUACGGGAGGCAGCAGUGGGGAAUAUUGCACAAUGGGCGCAAGCCUGAUGCAGCCAUGCCGCGUGUAUGAAGAAGGCCUUCGGGUUGGAAAGUACUUUCAGCGGGGAGGAAGGGAGUAAAGUUAAUACCUUUGCUCAUUGACGUUACCCGCAGAAGAAGCACCGGCUAACUCCGUG
This 490-nucleotide ribosomal RNA is filed under the name uncultured bacterium. RNAcentral's name for it is "partial 16S ribosomal RNA". It matches the Rfam family "Bacterial small subunit ribosomal RNA", at positions 30 to 507 of the family's 1533-position model. The record is from RNAcentral.